RNAcentral lists this ribosomal RNA (660 nucleotides) under uncultured Enterobacterales bacterium. RNAcentral's name for it is "bacterial SSU rRNA". It matches the Rfam family "Bacterial small subunit ribosomal RNA", at positions 70 to 723 of the family's 1533-position model. The record is from RNAcentral. Lineage: Bacteria; Pseudomonadati; Pseudomonadota; Gammaproteobacteria; Enterobacterales.
AGGAAGAAGCUUGCUUCUUUGCUGACGAGUGGCGGACGGGUGAGUAAUGUCUGGGAAACUGCCUGAUGGAGGGGGAUAACUACUGGAAACGGUAGCUAAUACCGCAUAACGUCGCAAGACCAAAGAGGGGGACCUUCGGGCCUCUUGCCAUCGGAUGUGCCCAGAUGGGAUUAGCUAGUAGGUGGGGUAACGGCUCACCUAGGCGACGAUCCCUAGCUGGUCUGAGAGGAUGACCAGCCACACUGGAACUGAGACACGGUCCAGACUCCUACGGGAGGCAGCAGUGGGGAAUAUUGCACAAUGGGCGCAAGCCUGAUGCAGCCAUGCCGCGUGUAUGAAGAAGGCCUUCGGGUUGUAAAGUACUUUCAGCGGGGAGGAAGGGAGUAAAGUUAAUACCUUUGCUCAUUGACGUUACCCGCAGAAGAAGCACCGGCUAACUCCGUGCCAGCAGCCGCGGUAAUACGGAGGGUGCAAGCGUUAAUCGGAAUUACUGGGCGUAAAGCGCACGCAGGCGGUUUGUUAAGUCAGAUGUGAAAUCCCCGGGCUCAACCUGGGAACUGCAUCUGAUACUGGCAAGCUUGAGUCUCGUAGAGGGGGGUAGAAUUCCAGGUGUAGCGGUGAAAUGCGUAGAGAUCUGGAGGAAUACCGGUGGCGAAGGCG